This 558-nucleotide small RNA is filed under the name Pan troglodytes (chimpanzee). RNAcentral's name for it is "processed transcript". Lineage: Eukaryota; Metazoa; Chordata; Mammalia; Primates; Hominidae. The record is from RNAcentral.
AGUUAAACCCUUUCUCGCGGGCGCAGAGUGGGCCUCCCACGCUUCUCUCCCGUGGCCAGUAUGCGUGAGAGUGUGAGUUGAGCCCCUGCCUCCGAGGAAGAAUUCUAAAAACCGGGCUAAGGGUCGAGCGAGGGAGGCUGACCUUUUCUUGUUAUCAAAUUACUGCGUUUCCCUGAAUUACGGGCACUCAGGAAUGGUGAAAUCUACAUAUUAACCGAGAAACACGACCCUCAAAGGAAGAUGUUGAAACAUUUGUAGCAGAUAUACUGAAAGGAGAAAAUUUAUCCAAGAAAGCAAAGGAAAAGAGAGAAUCCCUUAUUAAGAAGAUAAAAGAUGUAAAGUCUAUCUAUCUUCAGGAAUUUCAAGACAAAGGUGAUGCAGAAGAUGGGGAAGAAUAUGAUGACCCUUUUGCUGGGCCUCCAGACACUAUUUCAUUAGCCUCAGAACGAUAUGAUAAAGAUGAUGAAGCCCCCUCUGAUGGAGCCCAGUUUCCUCCAAUUGCAGCACAAGACCUUCCUUUUGUUCUAAAGGCUGGCUACCUUGAAAAACGCAGAAAAG